This 480-nucleotide ribosomal RNA is filed under the name Enterococcus sp. oral taxon A43. RNAcentral describes it as "bacterial SSU rRNA". It matches the Rfam family "Bacterial small subunit ribosomal RNA", at positions 28 to 483 of the family's 1533-position model. Lineage: Bacteria; Bacillati; Bacillota; Bacilli; Lactobacillales; Enterococcaceae. The record is from RNAcentral.
GACGAACGCUGGCGGCGUGCCUAAUACAUGCAAGUCGAACGCUUCUUUUUCACCGAACUUCGGUUCAUCGAAAAAGAGGAGUGGCGAACGGGUGAGUAACACGUGGGUAACCUGCCCAUCAGAAGGGGAUAACACUUGGAAACAGGUGCUAAUACCGUAUAAUGCUUUUUCUCGCAUGAGAGCAAGCUGAAAGGCGCUUUUGCGUCACUGAUGGAUGGACCCGCGGUGCAUUAGCUAGUUGGUGAGGUAACGGCUCACCAAGGCCACGAUGCAUAGCCGACCUGAGAGGGUGAUCGGCCACACUGGGACUGAGACACGGCCCAGACUCCUACGGGAGGCAGCAGUAGGGAAUCUUCGGCAAUGGACGAAAGUCUGACCGAGCAACGCCGCGUGAGUGAAGAAGGUUUUCGGAUCGUAAAACUCUGUUGUUAGAGAAGAACAAGGAUGAGAGUAAAAUGUUCAUCCCUUGACGUAUCUACC